UAUUUUAGUACAGAGGCUGCGCGUGCGGCACCGGGAGUGCUGGGAGGGACUGGUUUGGACUGGGAGCACUGGUUUGUAAUGGGAGCACUGGUUCAUACUGGGAUCCCUGUUCCAUACUGGAAUCAUUGGUCCAUACUGGGAGCACUGGUUCAUACUGGGAGCACUGGUUCAUACUGGAAUCAUUGGUCCAUACUGGGAGCACUGGUUCAUACUGGGAUCCCUGUUCCAUACUGGGAUCAUUGGUCCAUACUGGGAGCACUGGUUUUUACUGGGCCCGGCCCCCCAGCACCACGCAGAGCCCGCGGAUCUUUCUGGAAAGUUUUUAAUCAGAACCUGGAAAAUCCAACGCAGAGGGGGCGUGGCCUGGGCUUGGCCCCUCCCCCCAGUGUCCCCGCACCCAGGGGCGGUGCCCGGGGCGGGGCUACAGCAGGACAGAAAUGGGGGGAAGGGAGGCCCCACCCCCGGCCCCGCCCCUCCCCCACCCAUACCGGGGCCUUCCUGAGUGCGGGGGGAGGGGCAGCCCUGGGGGGAGGGGCGGGGACAGCUCUGUCCCCAACGUGGGGGGGAGGGGCAGGGGACACCGGCAGGGGGAGGGGACACCCCCACCCCCCCUAAGGCCACCCCCGGACUGUCCCCGUGUCCCCCGUAAGGCUCAGGGACCCCCAGGAUGUCCCCAAGGUGCCACCAGGAUGUCCCCAUGAAUGAAACCCCGGCCCUGUCCCCAAGGCCCAUCCAGGAUGUCCCCGGGUGUAUCCAGGCGGUCUCAGCUCCAUCCAGGGCUCCCAGGUCCAUCCUGGUGCUCCCGUGUCCCCCCGUGGGUGUCCCCUCCAUGUCCGUGGCUCCGUGGCCACCCCAGAGGCACUCCCAGGUCACCGUGGCCGUGUCCCCAAAAGCCGCAGCCCCGAGGUGGCCAUGGCCGUGUCCCCAGGGGUGACAGCCCUGAGGUGGCCGUGUCCCCAGGAGCCAGAGCUCCAAGGUGGCCGUGGCCGUGUCCCCAAGAGCUGCAGCUUGGUGGCCACUCCUGGAUCACCAUGUCCGUGUCCCCAGAGCUCCAUGGCCACCUCAGCUGUCCCCAGGUGACUCCCACUGUCCCAUCCGUUGCUCAGAGCUUGAGCUCCGUGGCCACCUUGGAGCCCCUCCUGGUCACCGUGUCCGUGUCCCUGGAGCUCCAUGGCCACUCCUGGGUCACCACAUCCGUGUCCGUGUCCCCGGAGCUCGGUGGCCCCCCAGCCGUCCCCGCCGUGGCUCAGAGCUUGAGCUCGUUGGCCACCUUGGAGGCGAUGUUCUUGAAGGCCAUGGAGGUGCCGGCGAUGCGCUUGAAGCGGACGCCGUUGAGCGAGAGCCGGGGCAGCUUGCACACCUCCAUCUCCCACUGCACGAAGGAGUCGUGCCCGGGCGCGCCGUGGGCGCAGAGCAGCACGAAGCGCUCCUGGGGCUCGCAGCGGCAGCUGUUGGCGUCCAGCACCUUGCGGAUCUCGCGCAGCAUCUCCCCGGGCUCCAGCGAGCUCGUCGUCUUCAUGCUCCACGUGAAGCGCAGCGAGCGCGGCUUGGCGUCGCGCCCGGCGUCGCGGGGGUCCUUGUCGGGGCCCACCGCGGGUC
This 1599-nucleotide long non-coding RNA is filed under the name Junco hyemalis (dark-eyed junco). RNAcentral describes it as "lncRNA (ENSJHYG00000000193.1)". The record is from RNAcentral. Lineage: Eukaryota; Metazoa; Chordata; Aves; Passeriformes; Passerellidae.